Non-coding RNA from Pelobates cultripes (western spadefoot toad), 253 nucleotides. Lineage: Eukaryota; Metazoa; Chordata; Amphibia; Anura; Pelobatidae. The record is from the annotation of a GenBank genome assembly.
CUCAGACACACACAUUCACUGGUGGGGGGGCACUUACAGACACUCACUGACAGACAUACACACACAUUCACUGGCAGACAGACACAAACUCACUGACAGACACACACUCACACAAUGGCACACACACAUUCAGAGACACACACACUCACUUACUCAUUUACAGACACACACACACUCACUGACAGACACACAGACACACACAUUUACUGAUACACAAUCACUGACACACAAACACAUUCACUGACACACACAC